GUGGGGAAUCUUGCACAAUGGGGGAAACCCUGAUGCAGCGACGCCGCGUGAGCGAUGAAGGCUUUCGAGUCGUAAAGCUCUGUCCUAUGGGAAGAUAAUGACGUUACCAUAGGAGGAAGCCCCGGCUAACUACGUGCCAGCAGCCGCGGUAAUACGUAGGGGGCUAGCGUUGUCCGGAAUCACUGGGCGUAAAGGGUUCGCAGGCGGUCAAGCAAGUCAGGUGUAAAAGGCAAGGGCUCAACCCUUGUAAGCACUUGAAACUGUUUGACUUGAGUGAAGGAGAGGUAAGUGGAAUUCCUAGUGUAGCGGUGGAAUGCGUAGAUAUUAGGAGGAAUACCAGUGGCGAAGGCGACUUACUGGACUUCAACUGACGCUGAGGAACGAAAGCAUGGGGAGCAAACAGGA
This 405-nucleotide ribosomal RNA is filed under the name uncultured bacterium. Its description in RNAcentral is "bacterial SSU rRNA". It matches the Rfam family "Bacterial small subunit ribosomal RNA", at positions 354 to 777 of the family's 1533-position model. The record is from RNAcentral.